This 602-nucleotide ribosomal RNA is filed under the name uncultured fungus. RNAcentral's name for it is "SSU rRNA". It matches the Rfam family "Eukaryotic small subunit ribosomal RNA", at positions 938 to 1566 of the family's 1831-position model. The record is from RNAcentral. Lineage: Eukaryota; Fungi.
AACUACUGCGAAAGCAUUUCCCAAGGAUGUUUUCAUUAAUCAGGAACGAAAGUUAGGGGAUCGAAGACGAUCAGAUACCGUCGUAGUCUUAACCAUAAACUAUCCCGACUAGGGAUCGGACGAUGUUAUAUUUUGACCCGUUCGGCACCUUACGAGAAAUCAAAGUGCUUGGGCACCAGGGGGAGUAUGNUCGCAAGGCUGAAACUUAAAGAAAUUGNCGGAAGGGCACCACCAGGGGUGGAGCCUGCGGCUUAAUUUGACUCAACACGGGGAAACUCACCAGGUCCAGACACAAUGAGGAUUGACAGAUUGAGAGCUCUUUCUUGAUUUUGUGGGUGGUGGUGCAUGGCCGUUCUUAGUUGGUGGAGUGAUUUGUCUGCUUAAUUGCGAUAACGAACGAGACCUUAACCUGCUANAUAGCCCGUAUUCGCUUUGGCAGUACGCUGGCUUUUUAGAGGGACUAUCGGCUCAAGCCCGAUGGAAGUUNGAGGCAAUAACAGGUCUGUGAUNCCCUUAGAUGUUUUGGGCCGCACGCGCGNUACAUCUGNCGGAGCCAGCGAUACUUUCCUUGGCCGAAAGGCCCGGUAAUCUGUAACUCCUGC